Molecule: ribosomal RNA, 997 nt
Filed under: Xenos sp. DPM-2011
Lineage: Eukaryota; Metazoa; Arthropoda; Insecta; Strepsiptera; Xenidae
Description: partial 18S small subunit ribosomal RNA
Rfam family: Eukaryotic small subunit ribosomal RNA (bases 1-380)
Source: RNAcentral
AAGCAGACCGCAAAAAAACAUGUAUUUUAAAAANUUUUUAAUUUUUAAAAUAAAUAAAUUGCGGCGUAUCUUUCAAUUGUCUGCCUUAUCAACUGUCGAUGGUAGAUUACAUGUCUACCAUGGUUGUAACGGGUAACGGGGAAUCAGGGUUCGAUUCCGGAGAGGGAGCCUGAGAAACGGCUACCACAUCUAAGGAAGGCAGCAGGCGCGCAAAUUACCCACUCCCGGCACGGGGAGGUAGUGACGAUAAAUAACGAUCCGGAACUCUAAUGAGUUUCCGUAAUCGGAAUGAGUACAAUUUAAAUCCGUUAACGAGGAGCUAAUGGAGGGCAAGUCUGGUGCCAGCAGCCGCGGUAAUUCCAGCUCCAUUAGCAUAUAUUAAAGUUGUUGCGUUUAAAAAGCUCGUAGUUGAAUUUGUAUCUCAUCAUGUCAUUCGCUCGUAAUUUAAUUUAUGUAGUUUGUUUUGACAUUUUGUAUGAGAUAUAAAUACUGGCGGAUUUUUAAAAAUUGAAAAUUAUUAAAUUUAUUUAAAUAUUAUAUUGUAAUUCUAUUUGUGAAUUUCAAUUAAUAUUUUAAUAUAAAUUGUUAUAAAAUAAUAAUCAAUUUUAAAAUUCGAUGCAAUAAUUUUUUAAUUAAUAAAAUUUUAAAAAAAAAAUUAAUAGAAAAAUUUUUUUUUAAACAAUAAAUUUUGUUUAAAAAUUAUUAUUAAAAAAAAAUUAGAUUUAAUUUUUUUUGAAAAAUUUUUGAUUAAAAAAUUAAAUUGUAUUCUAAUAAAAUUAUUUUUUUUAUUAAAAUGAUUAUUAUUAGACCAGUAAAAUUACUUUGAACAAAUUAAAGUGCUUAAAGCAGGCAAAUUUAAAUGCCAUGAAUAUAACAGCAUGGAAUAAUAGAAUAUGAUCUCGAUACUGUUUAGUAAAAAAAAAUUUCUUUUUUGUAAAAGGUUAAUUUAAAUUUAAUUAAAAAAAAUUAUUUUUACCAAAAAAAAAAUUUUAGAAAA